Molecule: ribosomal RNA, 476 nt
Filed under: uncultured bacterium
Lineage: Bacteria
Description: partial 16S ribosomal RNA
Rfam family: Bacterial small subunit ribosomal RNA
Source: RNAcentral
AGUGAACGCUGGCGGCGUGCCUAACACAUGCAAGUCGAACGAUGAUGGAGAGCUUGCUCUCCUGAUUAGUGGCGCACGGGUGAGUAUACCAUAGAUAAUGUACCCCUUAGUUCGGGAUAGCCACUGGAAACGGUGAUUAAUACCGGGUACUCCUUCUUGUCAAAAGGCAAGUCGGGAAAGUUUUUUCGCUAAGGGAUCAGUCUAUGUCCUAUCAGCUAGUUGGUGAGGUAAUGGCUCACCAAGGCUAUGACGGGUAUCUGGUUUGAGAGGAUGAUCAGACACACUGGAACUGAGACACGGUCCAGACUCCUACGGGAGGCAGCGGUGAGGAAUAUUGCACAAUGGAGGAAACUCUGAUGCAGCAACGCCGCGUGGAGGAUGACGCAUUUCGGUGUGUAAACUCCUUUUAAGAGGGAAGAUUAUGACGGUACCUCUUGAAUAAGCACCGGCUAACUCCGUGCCAGCAGCCGCAGUAA